UAAUUAGAAUACACUGAGAAAGAUCUUUGAAUAACCAUCAGAUGUGUCAAUAGCUCUAGUAGGAUUCUUAUAAAUUCUUUUGUAUUCAUAAAUAAGAUUCCUAUGUAGGAAGUUAACUUUUUAUGAUUACUAGCUGAAAAAAAGGAGGAAAAGUUAAAAAAGAUAAUUUUGUUUCUGGAAGUUUGACAUUUACAAUGACAUCAAUGAACUGUUAAUGUUAAAUCGUUUAAAAGUACUUUAAAGCUGAUUAAUGGUUAAGUUUAAAAGAAGAUGGCAAAGAAAGUGAGGGUUAGGAAGGGGGGGGACUGAUAAUGAAAUGAGAAAGGUAAGGG
This 332-nucleotide long non-coding RNA is filed under the name Mytilus galloprovincialis (Mediterranean mussel). Lineage: Eukaryota; Metazoa; Mollusca; Bivalvia; Mytilida; Mytilidae. The record is from RNAcentral.